Accipiter nisus (Eurasian sparrowhawk) is the source of this 94-nucleotide small nucleolar RNA. Lineage: Eukaryota; Metazoa; Chordata; Aves; Accipitriformes; Accipitridae. The record is from Ensembl.
GCAUCUGUCAUGAUGACUUCAGACUUUUCCCCACCAGAUUGGCAAUGCUGAUGCAAACUUCUGUUGUAGCCAGAUUGACUGAUUCCACAGAUGC